This 757-nucleotide ribosomal RNA is filed under the name Discochiton sp. 2 JC-2019. Its description in RNAcentral is "partial large subunit ribosomal RNA". It matches the Rfam family "Eukaryotic large subunit ribosomal RNA", at positions 403 to 946 of the family's 3401-position model. The record is from RNAcentral. Lineage: Eukaryota; Metazoa; Arthropoda; Insecta; Hemiptera; Coccidae.
AACCGUUCGGGGGUAAACGGACAGAGCCCGUGAAUCCGGGCGCGCGGAAUUCAGGACCGACGGGCGGGUCCGUCGAUUCGAUAUUUCCGCCGCCGACCUNUAAUCGGUGCGGACGUCGCGACCCGUUCGCCGUCGGUCUGGCGAGUCGCGUUUCAAGUUCGNUCGCGCGCGCGCUCUCGCGGGCGGCGAUGGCGCGUUUCUCGGGCGCGAACGCGGACGGUAGCUGCAGUGCGGGUAUUCGACGCGGCCGAUCGACGGACCUUCGCGUUCGUCGGGUGCGCGCGUCGACGCCGGUCAGCGACGAAUCUUCGGGCCUCUUUCCGACCCGUCUUGAAACACGGACCAAGGAGUCUAACGUGCGCGCGAGUCGCGGGGUACUCGGGUCGUUACGCGACCCGUUACUAUACGAAACCCGUUCACGUACGUUGUGCGAAGGCGUAAUGAAAGUGAGGUGACNNNCCUUCGGGGUUACCGGGGAAGACGGCGUUCCGAGUACACGUUUCUCGGUCGAUCGUAUCCGAGACCGGACGCCCGCAUUCCCGGGGCGUCCCGCUCGUCCGUCGACGGCGCGGACGCGCGUCGGCCGUCGUCGAACUGGGGCGCACCCACAGCGUGCACGUUGGUACCCGAAAGAUGGUGAACUAUGCCCGGCCAGGAUGAAGUCAGGGGAAACCCUGAUGGAGGUCCGCAGCGAUUCUGACGUGCAAAUCGAUCGUCUGAGCUGGGUAUAGGGGCGAAAGACUAAUCGAACCAUCUA